CCCAUCCUCACCCCCCAGAGCCUGUCCGAAACAGCAGGAGGAAGGGGGGAGCACCUGCGCCUGCAAAAAACCCCUCCAUUUUUGACGGUUCUGGCCUGGGUUCAUCGUGCCAUUUGAAGGUUUGCAUAUAAUUACUGUGGAGCAUGGAAUAGAUAAGGUCGACCACCAACCGUUUAAAGGAGACUGAUCCACGUUGUCUUAACGAUAUUAAUGGCUGGGAUACCAGAGCAGAUGGAAACCAACCAAGCUGCAGCUUUGAGCCAGACGGUGUGGGGAGGACACACAGUGAAGGACUUUGUCAGUGCGUUGAGAGGAUGUUCUAGACCCCACCCAACCGCACCCGCCAUUGCCACAGGUGAGCUGUGCCAGCUGCCACGUCCUCACUUCUUUCUUGGCGACUGAAGGACAUGGCGGCUCAGGCGUGGGAACCUGACCUGUGAGGGCUCACCUGACCAAACGGGCGCCUUAUUCCCACAUCCUCCUCCUAGCUCCCGUUGUCCCCCCAUCUUCAUCUAGAAAGAAGCUUCGAGUUUUACAUAAAUCGGGGCAGCCAACUGGCUCUUUGUUUCCUUGUCCCCUUCCCACCUCUGCCUUCCCGAAAGGUCCUAGUGGGGCACAUUAACUAAACAAAAGGCCAUCCGGUCCCUGGAAUCAAUUAUGUCACUCCCCAGGGGGACAGCAGCGUUGGAGACACAGACCAUUCCCCUCCACUCAAGCUUCCGAAAGGGUGGAAGGUAAGAACGCUUUCUCUUGCAUUUGAGGGUUAAGUACAGUCCCUAGUGGAGAGGGGAGUUCUUGAAUUAAAAUGGAGCACAAUUU
Molecule: long non-coding RNA, 819 nt
Filed under: Felis catus (domestic cat)
Lineage: Eukaryota; Metazoa; Chordata; Mammalia; Carnivora; Felidae
Description: lncRNA (ENSFCAG00000052612.1)
Source: RNAcentral